GAUGAACGCUGGCGGCGUGCCUAAUACAUGCAAGUCGAGCGAACAGAUAAGGAGCUUGCUCCUUUGACGUUAGCGGCGAACGGGUGAGUAACACGUGGGUAACCUACCUAUAAGACUGGGAUAACUUCGGGAAACCGGAGCCAAUCCCGGAUAAUAUUUCGAACCGCAUGGUUCGAUAGUGGAAGGUGGUUGUGCUAUCGCUUAUGGAUGGACCCGCGCCGUAGUAGCUAGUUGGCGGGGUAACGGCCUACCAAGGCGUCGAUCGGUAGCCGACCUGAGAGGGUGAUCAGACACAAUGGGACUGAGACACGGGCCAGACUGCUACGGGAGGCAGCAGUGGGGAAUAUUGGAAAAUGGGAGCAAGCCUGAUCCAGCAAUGCCGCGUGGGUGAAGAAGGUCUUCGGAUUGUAAAGCCCUUGCGGCGGGGACGAUGGUGACGGUACCCGCAGAAGAAGCCCCGGCUAACUUCGUG
RNAcentral lists this ribosomal RNA (472 nucleotides) under uncultured bacterium. Its description in RNAcentral is "partial 16S ribosomal RNA". It matches the Rfam family "Bacterial small subunit ribosomal RNA", at positions 28 to 507 of the family's 1533-position model. The record is from RNAcentral.